This 493-nucleotide ribosomal RNA is filed under the name uncultured bacterium. RNAcentral's name for it is "partial 16S ribosomal RNA". It matches the Rfam family "Bacterial small subunit ribosomal RNA", at positions 28 to 507 of the family's 1533-position model. The record is from RNAcentral.
GACGAACGCUGGCGGCGUGCUUAACACAUGCAAGUCGAACGGUGAAGGGACCGGUUUUUGCUGGUUCUGGAUGAGUGGCGAACGGGUGAGUAACACGUGAGUAACCUGCCCCCUUCUUCUGGAUAACCGCAUGAAAGUGUGGCUAAUACGGGAUAUUCUGCGCCUGCUGCAUGGUGGGUGUGGGGAAGAUAUUGUUUCGGUGGGGGAUGGGCUCGCGGCCUAUCAGCUUGUUGGUGGGGUGAUGGCCUACCAAGGCGGUGACGGGUAGCCGGCCUGAGAGGGUGGACGGUCACACUGGGACUGAGACACGGCCCAGACUCCUACGGGAGGCAGCAGUGGGGAAUAUUGCACAAUGGGCGCAAGCCUGAUGCAGCGACGCCGCGUGAGGGAUGGAGGCCUUCGGGUUGUAAACCUCUUUCGCCAGUGAAGCAGGCCUGUCCCUUUUGUGGGUGGGUUGACGGUAGCUGGAUAAGAAGCGCCGGCUAACUACGUG